UAUUCUGUUCUUGUGUCCUCUGCUAUAC
Molecule: non-coding RNA, 28 nt
Filed under: Mus musculus (house mouse)
Lineage: Eukaryota; Metazoa; Chordata; Mammalia; Rodentia; Muridae
Source: RNAcentral